This 1446-nucleotide long non-coding RNA is filed under the name Canis lupus familiaris (dog). Its description in RNAcentral is "lncRNA (ENSCAFG00040004101.1)". Lineage: Eukaryota; Metazoa; Chordata; Mammalia; Carnivora; Canidae. The record is from RNAcentral.
UACUCCCCACCUCACUGGUCUAAAAGAACACGGCUUUUAGAACCACAUUGGGAUUCAUUCCUGGCUACAGAUGCUGAGAAGCCCAAGGACAAGGAAGGGGCAAACAGGCUGAAAGAAGCCUUGGGGAUCCUGGGUGGCGCAGCGGUUUGGCGCCUGCUUUGGCCAGGGCGCGAUCCUGGAGACCCAGGAUCGAAUCCCACAUGGGCUCUGGUGCAUGAGCCUGCUUCUCCUCUGCCUGUGUCUCUGCCUCUCUCUCUCUGUGUGACUAUCAUAAAUUAAAAAAAAAAAAAAAAGCCUUGGAUUUGCCUGGGGCCACCUAUUCAACUGGAAGAACUCGGGAUGGGCUAGGCAGCAUUAGUGUGUCAGCCCUUCACCGCAUCUGCUCCCAGAUUCCUCAGUGGUUAAGCCAACUCUUCCUGCUGCUCCAAUGCAGGGUAAGUCGACCCUCACACCUUCCCUCCUGGAACUGACUGGCUCCUGUCCAUACUGGACCCUGGACUCUGCUUGAGACACUAUUCCUGCACAAUGUUAAUGACCGUUUCAUCAGCAACUGCUGAAAUCUAAUUUUUAAACUUCAGGACUAUAUUUUUGAUCCCAUUUUGACUUUUACCGGUAAAAGUCUCUUUAAUACUAUUUCGUUAUGUUGUAUGAAUAUCAUUUUAUGAUUCGAAGGUCCUAUCUAUAUUAAAGUUUGUAAAGGUAUUUUAUUUUAUUCAAGAGCCACUUUUAUUAAAAUGCCUGAACUCUACCAUCUGGUAUUUAACUGAGGUGAAGGGGUCCACUUGCUUAUCCGGCCUCCUCCUACAGCUAGUCCCACAGCAGGCUAACAGCAUUUAAUAUCUACCACAGAUACACAAUACAUUCAUUCUGUAGCAAGCACCUCAGUGAAAUUCAGCAUCUGAUAAGUGUGGAUAUAGAUCAGCUGCAAAUAGAAAAAAAGGAUCUCUAUAAUCUAUAUAUAAUAUAUAUAUUCUAUGUAUAACCUAUAUUACCUAAAACAAUGAUCUGCAAACUGUGAUUUCCAAUCAUUAAUGGGUCAUAAGAUCAAUUUAGUGGGUUAUGAGAACAUUAAAAAACACACAUAUAUUAAGAGCCAAAAGCGUAAUAGGAAAGGAAAUAUCAAAGUACACUGCAUGCUUUAUGGGUAAAUAUUAUUUCAUAAACAUUUUAUUUUAAUCUUAUAUAUGUAUUAACACAUAUGUACUGAGUCAUGAUAUAAAAUAGAUUUCACAGCUCUCAACAACAUCCCAAAGAACAUAUUUGGUCACUUGGUCCCUUGAGAAAAGAUUUGUUUUUUUGUUUUUAUUUCUCCAUUUACAGCCAUGGUUCUCCUGCAAGGUGGGUACUCUGAAGGCCUUGGGCUCCGAGCACCACCCCUUCCUGGCUCACUGCUAUUUCCUAUUUUUCCUCCUGCCCACCCAAGCUCCCAGAGCUCCACUGAAGGAA